This 186-nucleotide ribosomal RNA is filed under the name uncultured bacterium. Its description in RNAcentral is "partial 16S ribosomal RNA". It matches the Rfam family "Bacterial small subunit ribosomal RNA", at positions 591 to 776 of the family's 1533-position model. The record is from RNAcentral.
GCUGUGAAAUCUGGGGGCGCCACCCCCAGCCUGCAGUGGGUACGGGCAGACGAGAGUGCGGUAGGGGAGAUUGGAAUUCCUGGUGUAGCGGUGGAAUGCGCAGAUAUCAGGAGGAACACCGAUGGCGAAGGCAGAUCUCUGGGCCGUAACUGACGCUGAGGAGCGAAAGGGUGGGGAGCAAACAGG